Triticum dicoccoides is the source of this 2691-nucleotide long non-coding RNA. RefSeq lists it as uncharacterized. The record is from RefSeq and is a predicted model, not a curated record. Lineage: Eukaryota; Viridiplantae; Streptophyta; Magnoliopsida; Poales; Poaceae. The transcript is spliced from 3 exons.
UCCCCAUCGCCGCCGCCCACCACCUCCCCCCUCCUCUCCUAGAGCCACACCCAUCCCAAUCCAUCUUCCUCCUCCCCUCCACCUCCACCUCAACCACCCAGCAAUGGCACAUCGCCGCCGCUCACACCCACCAGCCACCUUGCUCAUGGGCUCGGCCCUGUCCCCCAUCCUUUCCUGACGUUCUCUCCUAGAACAGAUCAAGUAGCCGACAGCCAGAUCCGCAGCGGUCCUUCCAGUGGCCAUCUCAUGGAGCUCAUCCACUAGCCGUGAUUCAACUUUGUCAAGUUGGUGAUGUUGCUGCCUUGAAGGACCUGCCGAAGUGGAGAAGGAGGCCCACCGGCGCCAUGGGUCGGUAUAUUCCGGCGCAACCAGGAUGAUUGCCAGCUCAUCAGCUUAAAGGUUGUGUUAAGAACGCCAACCAUGGAGAAGCUGCUGCGGGGGUUAAAGGGUCAGGUGAGGACGCCUGGAAUGCAGCUCAACAUCACUACCAUAACUUCAGGUCCCCUGUACCAAAUGUGACAUGCCUCCUCCAUACUCUCUCCCUCUGUUUGUUGUGAUUCGGUAGUUGUGCUUUGCUGAUGUUGUUUCCCCAACAGAGAUCCUCGAGGCUGACACAGAAAAUCAUGACAAACACCAACAAGUUUGUCAAUGUAACGACUUCUCCUGUCUCUCUUGUUGGCGCCACCUCCUCGCAGCGCCUCUCUUCUUCUACCUCUGAUUACUCUUCCUCUUGUGGUUUCUCUCAAACACAUACUCAUGGAAGAAACUCCUAGGAAACACACACACACACACACACACUCACAACCAAGAAAGACGACCAGUGGCUUUGCCCAGAACACUUUCUUGGUCAUACGAGAGACUACAUUGUUUUUCUGCCCUCACGACUGCAAACUUUCUCAUUCACUUGAUCAACUUAAAUAGCAAGUACAGGAUAAGACUCACACCUCAUGCACUUACUCCACUAACGCACUAAUCCACCUCCUGGAAUUUCUCUAGACGCAUGCGACUCGGCCAACAUGCAAGGCACACCGGUAGAGUCACAAAUCCACUCACGGAUGCACCAAGACCUAUUCUCAUGUAGCUACUAACUAACUCAUCUAAUUCCACUACUAACUUGCGUGUACACAUAUUAACUGAUCUUCACAUGAGUACACACCCGCUGUCUAGUAGCUGGACACGACUACAUGCAUGGAUCAACAAAAACAAAUAAUCUAAAUUAGCACCAAUAACAAGAUUAGUCCCAACAUCUCUCUCAACAAGAUUUCCUCUGUUUCAAGAUUCAACAGAAAAGUUUCUUGUUUUGGUGGUAUUUCACCCGCAAACUUUUAACAUCAAUAAUGGCAUUUACCUGGGAGUAUCAUCAAAUGUUGAUUACAUCUGUACAUAUUAAUCAUAGCUCUAGAGCAACUGUGGUAUAUUUGUUGUUAUUGCUACAGUCAUUUAUUUUUUGAUCAUGGCAUGCAUGUUCGCUCCUUGUGUAUUUGGAGAUAAGAGUAGAGGAUGGCAACCUUGUCUGCUUUGGGAAAAUCACUUGUAAACAUCCCUUAUUUGUUACCCGUCCUUGAAUAUAAGCGAAGCAUGAUGAAUUCAAGCUGCGCUUUCCUAACUAUUAGUUACUGUUUAUGAAUUACUUUCUUGGUUCAUAGUUCACUACAGUACAGAUUUUGAUUUUUUUAUCCAAUAACAAGUACAGAGCUUAGUACUCCACAAACAAACUAGUUUCUGUUAUUAUCUUGAAGUUAAUCUCUAUCACUUGUUUACUGUCAUUCCUGUUUGUUAAGGAAUGGUGUGGUACAGUGUAUAUGCUGGCAGAAUUUUCUUUACAUAAUUUUCAUCUGAUCGCUUGUAUAGAAAAUUAUUUCUUCCUUAUUCUUUUGCAUUUCUGAUUGAAUCUUUAAUUUUUGUUUUAAUAUGGUUGCAAACAACGCUGAUGCAAGUACAUCUUCAUCGUGUUGUACUCAUUGUUUCUCUAGCAUGCUAAUCAUUGUCUGAUUGCUUUUACUUGGUUCAAAUAGGUGACACAAAGUGAAACCCUUGACAUGAACUUCAUUACUUCCUUGAUGUCGAAUUACAGCAGAGGAUUAUUUGUAGAACUAUAUUACCUGACUUCUUAAUAUAGUUGUAUAAAUAAUCCUUUCAUGAGCAUAUGAACUUGAUUUUUUUUGUUGUACUUAUGAAUAAGAAAUGAUCUAUCCAUCCGUUUGUUUUAAAAUGAUGUUGACCUUUCAAUGUUUGGAUGAUAAAAUGUCACAUUUAUAGAAUAAUUUUUUGAACUUGUAACUAGUAUGCUUUUCUUCAUGUGUGUUGCCCACAUUUACGUCAUACCUUAAUAUAGAAGUGGUGUGUCCAUGGAUGAUUGCUUGGGAAACCAACUAAUAUGAUUACUCUGGAUUCAUUUGGGAGCUGGCUUUUAUAGCUUAUUAUAAUUUUGUAUGUGUUUUGAUUCUAUGCAGGUUUGGCAAUUAAUCCGUGUUACUGGGGAUUGAAGUUUUUAGUAUGGAUUAUUUGGGUCCGGAUAGCUGUCUUGAAGCGGUGGUGUAGUGUUGGAGAUUAAAAUUAGCUAGUAGUCCAUUUUAUCUGAAGUCGUGUUACUCAUUUUUUUAAAUGCUUAUAGGGCUUUCUAGAUAUGCUUGAAAGUUUUUAUAAGCAUUUUUUCAAUCAGACUAGAUUGUUGGAACUCUGUAUUGUCAU